This 480-nucleotide ribosomal RNA is filed under the name uncultured bacterium. RNAcentral describes it as "partial 16S ribosomal RNA". It matches the Rfam family "Bacterial small subunit ribosomal RNA", at positions 30 to 507 of the family's 1533-position model. The record is from RNAcentral.
AUUGAACGCUGGCGGCAGGCUUAACACAUGCAAGUCGAACGAUGAUUAUCUAGCUUGCUAGAUAUGAUUAGUGGCGGACGGGUGAGUAACAUUUAGGAAUCUGCCUAGUAGUGGGGGAUAGCUCGGGGAAACUCGAAUUAAUACCGCAUACGACCUACGGGUGAAAGGGGGCGCAAGCUCUUGCUAUUAGAUGAGCCUAAAUCAGAUUAGCUAGUUGGUGGGGUAAAGGCCCACCAAGGCGACGAUCUGUAACUGGUCUGAGAGGAUGAUCAGUCACACCGGAACUGAGACACGGUCCGGACUCCUACGGGAGGCAGCAGUGGGGAAUAUUGGACAAUGGGGGCAACCCUGAUCCAGCCAUGCCGCGUGUGUGAAGAAGGCCUUUUGGUUGUAAAGCACUUUAAGCAGGGAGGAGAGGCUAAUGGUUAAUACCCAUUAGAUUAGACGUUACCUGCAGAAUAAGCACCGGCUAACUCUGUG